RNAcentral lists this ribosomal RNA (468 nucleotides) under uncultured bacterium. RNAcentral's name for it is "partial 16S ribosomal RNA". It matches the Rfam family "Bacterial small subunit ribosomal RNA", at positions 28 to 507 of the family's 1533-position model. The record is from RNAcentral.
GACGAACGCUGGCGGCGUGCUUAACACAUGCAAGUCGAACGGAAAGGCCCUGCUUUUGUGGGGUGCUCGAGUGGCGAACGGGUGAGUAACACGUGAGUAACCUGCCCUUGACUUUGGGAUAACUUCAGGAAACUGGGGCUAAUACCGGAUAGGAGCUCCUGCGGCAUGGUGGGGGGUGGAAAGGUUCGGCGGUCGGGGAUGGACUCGCGGCUUAUCAGCUUGUUGGUGGGGUAGUGGCUUACCAAGGCUUUGACGGGUAGCCGGCCUGAGAGGGUGACCGGCCACAUUGGGACUGAGAUACGGCCCAGACUCCUACGGGAGGCAGCAGUGGGGAAUAUUGCACAAUGGGCGGAAGCCUGAUGCAGCAACGCCGCGUGCGGGAUGACGGCCUUCGGGUUGUAAACCGCUUUCGCCUGUGACGAAGCGUGAGUGACGGUAAUGGGUAAAGAAGCACCGGCUAACUACGUG